Molecule: transfer RNA, 73 nt
Filed under: Felis catus (domestic cat)
Lineage: Eukaryota; Metazoa; Chordata; Mammalia; Carnivora; Felidae
Also listed under: 4 other names
Rfam family: tRNA
About the family: Transfer RNA (tRNA) molecules are approximately 80 nucleotides in length.
Source: Rfam by way of RNAcentral
GCCUGGCUGGCUCAGUCGGUGGAGUGUGUGACUCUUGAUCUUAGGGUUGUGGGUUCAAGCCCCACGUUGGAUG